GUGUCAGCCGCCGCGGUAAUACGGAGGGGGCUAGCGUUGUUCGGAAUUACUGGGCGUAAAGCGCAUGUAGGCGGUUAUGUCAGUCAGAUGUGAAAUCCCCGGGCUCAACCUGGGAACUGCAUUUGAUACUGCGUAACUAGAGUACGGUAGAGGUUGAUGGAAUUCCUAGUGUAGAGGUGGAAUUCGUAGAUAUUAGGAGGAACACCAGUGGCGAAGGCGAUCAACUGGGCCGUAACUGACGCUAAGGUGCGAAAGCGUGGGGAGCAAACAGGAUUAGAUACCCUGGUAGUCCACGCCGUAAACGAUGAGUGCUAGAUGUCGGGAGUUCCGCUUUCGGUAUCGCAGUUAACGCAUUAAGCACUCCGCCUGGGGAGUACGGUCGCAAGGUUAAAACUCAAAUGAAUUGACGGGG
Molecule: ribosomal RNA, 412 nt
Filed under: uncultured prokaryote
Description: bacterial SSU rRNA
Rfam family: Bacterial small subunit ribosomal RNA
Source: RNAcentral